This 495-nucleotide ribosomal RNA is filed under the name uncultured bacterium. Its description in RNAcentral is "partial 16S ribosomal RNA". It matches the Rfam family "Bacterial small subunit ribosomal RNA", at positions 28 to 507 of the family's 1533-position model. The record is from RNAcentral.
GACGAACGCUGGCGGCGUGCUUAAUACAUGCAAGUAGAACGCUGAAGGAGGAGCUUGCUUCUCUGGAUGAGUUGCGAACGGGUGAGUAACGCGUAGGUAACCUGCCUGGUAGCGGGGGAUAACUAUUGGAAACGAUAGCUAAUACCGCAUAAGAGUGGAUGUCGCAUGACAUUUGUUUAAAAGGUGCAAUUGCAUCACUAGCAGACGGACCUGAGUUGGAUUAGCUAGUUGGUGAGGUAACGGCUCACCAAGGCAACGAUACAUAGCCGACCUGAGAGGGUGAUCGGCCACACUGGGACUGAGACACGGCCCAGACGCCUACGGGAGGCAGCAGUAGGGAAUCGUGGGCAAUGGGCGGAAGUCUGACCGAGCAACGCCGCGGGAGUGAAGAAGGAUUUCGGAUCGUAAAGCUCUGUUGUAAGAGAAGAACGAGUGUGAGAGUGGAAAGUUCACACUGUGACGGUAUCUGACCAGAAAGGGACGGCUAACUACGUG